This 583-nucleotide ribosomal RNA is filed under the name uncultured fungus. RNAcentral's name for it is "eukaryotic LSU rRNA". The stretch from base 218 to 371 matches the Rfam family "5.8S ribosomal RNA". The record is from RNAcentral. Lineage: Eukaryota; Fungi.
UCUUGGUCAUUUAGAGGAAGUAAAAGUCGUAACAAGGUCUCCGUUGGUGAACCAGCGGAGGGAUCAUUACCGAGUUUACAACUCCCAAACCCCUGUGAACAUACCACUUGUUGCCUCGGCGGAUCAGCCCGCUCCCGGUAAAACGGGACGGCCCGCCAGAGGACCCCUAAACUCUGUUUCUAUAUGUAACUUCUGAGUAAAACCAUAAAUAAAUCAAAACUUUCAACAACGGAUCUCUUGGUUCUGGCAUCGAUGAAGAACGCAGCAAAAUGCGAUAAGUAAUGUGAAUUGCAGAAUUCAGUGAAUCAUCGAAUCUUUGAACGCACAUUGCGCCCGCCAGUAUUCUGGCGGGCAUGCCUGUUCGAGCGUCAUUUCAACCCUCAAGCACAGCUUGGUGUUGGGACUCGCGUUAAUUCGCGUUCCUCAAAUUGAUUGGCGGUCACGUCGAGCUUCCAUAGCGUAGUAGUAAAACCCUCGUUACUGGUAAUCGUCGCGGCCACGCCGUUAAACCCCAACUUCUGAAUGUUGACCUCGGAUCAGGUAGGAAUACCCGCUGAACUUAAGCAUAUCAAUAAGCGGAGGA